Callithrix jacchus (white-tufted-ear marmoset) is the source of this 113-nucleotide Y RNA. It matches the Rfam family "Y RNA". Rfam says of the family: Y RNAs are components of the Ro ribonucleoprotein particle (Ro RNP), in association with Ro60 and La proteins. The Y RNAs and Ro60 and La proteins are well conserved, but the function of the Ro RNP is not known. In humans the RNA component can be one of four small RNAs -- hY1, hY3, hY4 and hY5. The record is from Ensembl. NCBI's taxonomy places the organism in Eukaryota, Metazoa, Chordata, Mammalia, Primates, Cebidae.
GGCUGGUCCAAAGGUAGUGAGUUAUCUCAAUUGAUUGUUCACAGUCAGUUACAGAUGGAACUCCUUGUUCUACUCUUUCCCUCCUUCUCACUACUGCACUUGACUAGUCUUUA